ACAAUGUGGUCCUUACGUAACUCGGACUAUAUAUAAUGGAAUGAAUUCUGUUUUAUAAGUUCUUCUAUGAUCUGACCCCACCACAUAACCAUGUUUGCUUUACUCCUUACAUUGACCGUUGUGUCUGCUGCUCCUGUAGAGGAAGGCAAGUAUACUUAUUGGUAUAAGAAUAGGGAGAUGUGGUAUGAUUGUCAAUGAGACAACUAUUCACCUCAGUUUGAAUUAAGCGGAUGUAAGCAAUUAUUGGCAAUCGUAUGUAGCCUUCAAUAAUAAAGAAACACAUACAAGUACCUUAUAGUAUUAUAUGAUAUAAAAGGCCCAAAAAAGAAAAAUAUGAAACAAUUCAAUUAAAAAAAUUAACGUCCUUGUUUAUAACAAAUUAAUUUACGAAAAAAAUCAAUACAUCAGACACGAGCCAACGAAAACCACUGAAAUACAGGCUACGGACUUGAGACAGGCACGUAAAGUUUAAGAAUAUGGCGAGGCUAAACACGUUUGUGAGCACCCAACACUCCCCUAACCUGAGGCAGUGGUGUUACAGCACAACAUAAGAACACUAUUAAAAUCAGUUAAAAAGGGUAUUACUCAUCAUAUCGGUACAAAGUAGAUAAACAAAAAUAGUCCGGACGUGGCAGGUUAUUUAUACAUCCCUAACAAAAAACAGAACUUACAGAUGUGAGAGUACUCGCAGUUAGUUCGUAACCAAUAAGAACUCAUAAGAAAUCAUGCAUCUAAGACUUACAUGUACGUACAAUUAUAUGAAGGUGACUAAAAUAAUUAUCAAUAUCAACGGUGACAGAGUAGUCUGAGCAGUUCAUAUAUAGUACCACUAUAUAUACGAUCAACACUGCGUUUGAAACUCGUAAGUGGUUCGAAAACGAUCUUUAUCAGCUUAUAUUUCGAUUUUUCUUGACGAAGGCCGUUGGUUCUCCAGGUCACACUAUAUAGCCAAAGAGUGCUGAACGUGAAGUUAAAUACAAACAAUCAAUCAAUUAAUCAAUAAAUCAAUAAAAAAAAAUCUGAAAAAACAGGUCAGAUCAUUUCACGUAGAAUUUGGUUUUUUUUUUAUUAAACAGAAGAAACUUUAACAAAAUAUUUAUUUCAGGAUGUUUAUUCGAUGGUACAAUGUACGCCACCGGAGAUAAAAUCAUCAUCAGUCACUGCCUUGGUGCAAUGACAUGUAUGGGCAACAAUAUAUACUCAAGCCUGGAACAAUAUGGGUACUAUAACUUGUUGUUUUUUUAAAUACAUAUGUUUUUGAAAUUAACAAACUAUUCGUCGCUUUCUAAAUAUAGAUAAUCGUAACACUUUUUUCAUCUUCUAUCUUUUAACUUUAAUUUUAAGAUCAAUUUACGGCAACGAAGAUAAACGAUUUUCUCUAAUUCUUACACGAUUUAUUCUGUUCGUAACCUGUUGAUUAUUUUCAUUUCAUCAACGUGUGAUUCGUUUGGUCUCAGUUCUUUAUUGGUCAAGAAUCGUUUAGGCAUCAAAUGUUUUUGCUAAACCUCUCAGUAUCCUAUUGUGAUGUCAUGAAUAAGGAACAAUAUAGAAAGAACUAUCUUUUUGCAUUCGAAAAGAAGGAUUGAGUUUGUCUGCUAUCGUUUAAAAAUUACUAGAGAAACAGAUUCCACAACCAAUAUUGUGCAAUACGAUAUAUAUCCACUCUCGACAGUUAAAUUUUACAUCUCGGCGAGCCUCAAAUUGAACUACCUCGAGUGGAUAGAUAUCGUAUCACACUCGAUACAGUGAUGGAAUCUAAAUGUUACCAGCAGAUGUCAGUUGUGAUAACUAGUCUUGUCUUGCUUGUAUCCAUUAACUAUUUGUAUUUUCAGAGGCAUAUGUCCUUCAACAAAACGAUCAACUGGACAAAGUAAGUAAUAACUAAAUUUCUACGAAGCUACACAAAACCCCUUACAAAUAUAGAUUUAUUUCGUCUUCAACAUUGUUCAACUACUAAAUUGUCUAUUAUUCUUACCAGCACACUUGGUACAAUUAAAAACCUGAUAAUAAAUUGUUCAAAUAAGGCCUUCGAAAAUAGUGGAAUAAAUUACUUUUGGAGUGUCAAGAACUCGUUGGAAGUACUUGAUAAAUUGCAUGCUUAUUUGGUGAUUUUGAAUCUGUUCAAAGUUUUGAUUUUUCUACCUGUAUAUCCACAUUGCCUCACAUUCUCAUUAAGAAAAAUUCACACACCUAAUUAAAUGGGCAUUAAAAAAUCAGAAUGUGAAUAUAUAUGUCAAACUCUUUUAGGUCAUUUUUAGUAGCAAUAAACAAAAAAACUAUGUUAAUUGGACAUGCUUUGAUACUAUAUAUGCCCUUGAAUUUUUACUAGAUAACAUUUUUGUUCGCUUUGGGGAUUCCGUAUAUCGUCAGAUUAUCGGAAUUCCAAUGGGGACUAACUGUGCACCACUUAUUGCGGACCUGUUUUUGUAUUGUUAUGAGUUACAAUUUAUGACAAAAAUAAGCAAAGACCCAUCGAAACAACAUCUGAUAAACAAAUUUAAUAAUACUUUUAGAUAUUUGGAUGAUAUUUUGGCUCUUAAUAAUGACGACUUCAGUAUGUAUAUUAAUGAAAUUUAUCCUGUUGAACUUACUUUAAAUAAAGCUAAUACUAACAAUGACCACUGCCUUUUCUCGAUCUUGAUAUCUAUAUCACUAAUGGAAAGCUGAAUACUAAAAUUUAUGAUAAAAGGGAUGAUUUUUCAUUUCCUAUCGUUAUUAUCCGUUUUUAGAUGGUGACGUUCCCUUGUCACCAUCUUUACGGUGUUUAUAUAUCUCAACUUGUACGAUUAGCUCGUGUAUGUAAAUGUUUUAGAUUUUAACGAGAAUAUUUAUGUAUUACUGAAAAAUUAUUACACCAGGGUUUUCGAUAUCACAAACUAGUCAAAACAUUUACUAAAUUUAUCAUCGGUAUAAAGACAUCAUUCGUAAAUAUAGCUCAACAUGCGACUUCUAAUACGUUCAGGUAUUUCACAUCCAAUUUUUUAUGGAAAUAUCUUUAUAAAGCACAAAGGUGUCAGUAUUCACCUCAGAAACUUACAACAAAACCUUUGAAUAGACUUAUUAAGAAGGGAUAUAAUUACGAUACUGUUGUCAAGUCAUUAAGAUUGCAAUUUUGGCGUUAAUAUUGAGUCACUGAUAAGGUCUUUGCAUCGGAACUAAACACAUUUAUUCUAAAAACAGUUGUUGGCAUGACACGGGUUAUGUUCUUCUCAUAUAUGUUAUGAUGGUAUGAUACUAAACCCCUAACGGGAAGGAUUGUGCCUGAUGUUCAUAUGAUGAAAUCAUAAUCUUUCAGUCAGUUUAAUUGAAGUCUGGAGCUGGCAUGUCAGUUAACUGCUAGUAGUCUGUUGUUUUAUGUAUUAUGUCAUUUUGUUUAUUUUCUUUGGUUACAUCUUCUGACAUAGACUCGGACUUCUCUUGAACUGAAUUUUAAUGUGUGUAUUUUAUGCGUUUACUUUUCUACAUGGUUAGAGGAAUAGGGGAGGGUUGAGAUCUCACAAACAUGUUUAACCCGCCGCAUUUUUGCGCCUGUCCCAAGUCAGGAGCCCUGGCUUUUGUUAAUCUUGUAUUAUUUUAAUUUUAGUUUAUUGUGUACAAUUUGGAAAUUAGUAUGCGUUCAUUAUCACUGGUAUAUAUAUGUUUUAGGGGCCAGCUGAAGACGCCUCCGGUGCGGGAAUUUCUCGCUACAUUGAAGACCUGUUGGUGACCCUCUGCUGUUGUUUUUUAUUUGGUCGGGUUGUUGUCUCUUUGACACAUUCCCCAUUUUCAUUCUCAAUUUUAUUCAUAAAGGUGAUAUUGCAAUAUUUGUGGUUGCGUUUAUAAGUUUUUUUUCUCGAUUUGGAAGUUUUAAACGUACCCUUGCUAACUUCCGACUUUUUGUGUUUUAUCGAAGAGAUUACAUUGAUAUAUUUCUGACUUGAUGUUUUACUCUUUUUAUAGAUAAAAAGGAUAAUGCUUGGUUGAGAUUUACUUUAACAAAUGUAUUUUAUCUUCACAAACUGUUCAAGUGACUCCAUCAAAUGAAAAAAAAAAUGUGCAUAACAAAUUGUAAACAAAAAGUAUGCAAGUUUUGCAUUUUCUGUUUUAAAUUUCAGCUGGAUGUUUGUUUGACGGUAAAAUUUACAAUAAGAACGACGUUAUCACAAUCAGUCAUUGUUUGGCUCAAAUGGAAUGCUUGGGAUUCAAUUCCUAUGGAGAGAUUAAAAGUCUUGGGUCAGUAAAAAAAGGCUUUUAUAUGAGAUAUACUGUAUGCAUUUUGCUCAGUGUACUUGAUUCUGUAAGAUUGUUGAAUAAUACAACAAAAAAAACAUCAAAAGAAAGAGUUGAUAUCCAUUGUUUAGUAUAUAUAUUUAAUUUCAAGGAUCUUGUAUAGAAAACAAAAUGUAGAAAUUCUUUGAUCUAGAGAGGCGAAAAAUUACAGAUUAAAAGAUUGAAGCUGUAACAUUAAAUGAUAUUUGAGUUUAUUUUAAAUUUAAAGAGAGUUAUAAAUAAUUAAAAAGCACCAUUGAUAUCAAAACAAAACUCAAAUCCGAAAAGAUACAAGGUUGGACAAGACAAAUAAACAACGAAUACUGUCCACAAUUUUUCAAGACCGUCCAAAACUCCGAUUGAGCUAGAUAUAUAACCUGGUUUAAUCCAUCAUUUCUUACAUAUUAAGAAUUAAGACAUUAUCAGGAAUAUGACAGUUGUCAUGCAUUCGUUUGAUGUGUUUGGGCUUUUGAUUUUUCCAUUUUAUAACGAACUUUCACGUUUGGAUUGACCUCGGAGUUCGGUAUUAUUGUUAUUUUAUUUUUUAAUGAUUUAAUUGUUUUUUUUUUACAGUGGAAUAUGUCCAGUAAAAGACAGACGGGAUGUAAAUGGACAGAGUAAGUUUUCUUUGUGAAUAUUUGCUUCAGUACUUCUUCUAAUACUAUUUAUAAAACACCAAAAAUCAUACCAUUGCUUCGUGCUGAAAGUCUCACUCUGACUUAUAGAUGAAGAACAACAAUAACAGCGCUGUACAUUUGAUUUGUAUGUUUUUUGUUUUUGUGCAUAUAUUGAUGUGUUUUAAAGACAAAUACCCCAUAUCCCGUAUUUUUAUGCCCCAUUUAUGAGCAUUAUGUUUUUUAGUCUGUGCCUCCGUCCGUUCGUCCGUUCGUCCGUCAGGUUAAAGUUUUCAGGUUAAAGUUUUUGGUCGAGGUAGUUUUUGAUGAAGUUGUAGUCCAAUCAACUUGAAACUUAGUACACAUGUUCCCUAUGAUAUGAUCUUUCUAAUUGUGAUGCCAAAUUAGAGAUUUUCUCCCAUUUUCACGGUCCACUAAACAUAGAAAAUGAUAGUGCGGAUGGGGCAUCCGUGUACUGGGGACACAUUCUUGUUUUCUCGACAUUUUGUUUAAUUCCAUUUAUGUAUAUCAUAAUGAAAUGUUCGGAGGGUUCUCCCCUUUAUUCUCUUACACGAACACACACACACACAUUAUGUUUUAAUGAAUUUCAGCUGGGUGUUUGUUUGAUGGCAGAGUAUAUGCAGCUAAUGAGGAAAUUAUUAUACCGUCCUGUUUGGGUAAAAUGACAUGUUUAGGAAACAAUAAUCUUGGAUCUAUUACAUCACUGUAGUAAGUAUAGAGUGGGGUGCUCAUUUUCGCCAUAUCUUUCCAUGUUUUCUACAGUUUAUGUUCAGGUCUAUAUGUUUUUGAAGUAUACUGAUAUUUCUGUAUGAAGAUAACUUCAAAUGCAAAAUAUUCUUACGCUUGAAAACGUGUUGUUUGAAAAAUCAUCUGAAAAGUUAGAUUUAAGGAUGUUUGCAAUUGCCUGAUGUUUUAUCAAUGGGGGACACAUAUUCGCCGUUUUUAUAUAUCUAUUUAAACCCAAAUAACUGCAGCUUUAAACAAUAUUUUUCAAAUCAACUUCAUUAUAGAUGGCAAUAGCAUACAUUUGAAGUGUCAGAACUGAAAUUUAGGCAAUCAGUAAAAAUUACUAAGAAUGCAUCUUUGAAAUUUGUUUUUCAUUCAGGAAAUUGGCCGAAAAUCGUUGUCCGUUUUUCAGUUCUUUGGGGUAAGUGCCGCAAUUUUGUCGUAGUUUAAAAAAUAACCAUAUUUGUUAUGAAAAUCUAAGUCACCAGCAUAUUUCUUCCAUUUCAGCCAUCUUUUGAAGUAUACACUCAAAUAGUAAAACGGCGAAAUUGUGUCCCCGGCGAAUAUGCGCACCCCACUCUACAUUUUAUGUACAUAUGCCUUUUUUAUUAACAUAGUGAAAACCUGUUGGCAAACAAACCGAUGUAUAGACAUCUCUCAUUGUGGUGCAAAAAAAAAUGUUGUCUUAGACAAUACUCAUUUUGUUGGCAUUUGUUUUUUCUUCGGUCAUUGUUUAAAUACGUUAUCGAUUCGUUUAACGUUGGGAAUGCAUAGCAUAAGGAUGUGCUUUACCUUUUGAAAUAAGUUUUCUCCAGGUGCAACUAAACUUCAAAACCAAAUCUUUAUAUCUAUGAAAAAAUUUAGUAAAAGUUUAAAGUAAUUUGUGGUACCGGUAACGGAAUCACUGACUGAAUAAUUUACCAGUAAUAUAUAGAUUGCGUUCGUAAAAAGGUAAAAGUUUAGUUUAACAUAUAGUAAUUUGGAAUUUCUAUUACUUGCUUUCUGUUUGAUUGAUGCUAUGAGUCAACGUAUAUGGUUUAGGUGAAUAUACUUUUCAAAUAACCUUGUAUUAUAAAGUUUGGAGUCACCCUUAAAACAAAUCGCUAUUUCCGUUGAAAAAAAACUAUCAGUGCUAUAUAAUCCAGAGGAAGCGAAUUGUGGAUUUAAAGUAAAUCUUCUUUAUUACUUUUUAAGUGGUGUAUGUCCGCAGACUAAACGCUCAGUAGAUGGACAAAGUGAGUAUAUGUAACUAUUUGUUGCUGCAUGUGUCUGUCUAUAACACGAUGAGUUCUUAUAAUAGUUGUUUAUCAACCACCUCACUUUAUAAUUUUAAAAACGCAUAUGUUAUGACAGACUUGAAGCAAAAUAGAUCUACUUAAAUUGACCCAUGGUUUCAUGGUUCUAAUAUUGGAGAAACUGAAUGCAGUUUUCAAUUUUCUACAAAUUUAACUUCAUAUUAAAACAAUUAUUCUGUACAAAAUAAGAAAAAGUCUUACUUUCUUCAGCUAGCUUAUGAAUAAUUUGAUCUUUUUAUAUCCCUUACAUAUUUUAUAAUUCAUAAACCAAUACAUUGGAAGAUUUUAAGUAUUAACUUGAUCAAAACAAUAUGAAAAUGAGACUUUUUACAAGUAAUUAUUAAUUGUAGGUGGAUGUCUAUUUGAUGGUACGGUUUAUGCCAAAGGAGAUGUGAUACCUAUAAAAGGAACUAAUGCUCGUGUGGUGUGCCAAGGAAACAAUAUCUAUACCGAACAAUUAUAAAGUAGAGGUAAGAGGUUAGUUAAUAUAAAUCUAUAAAUCCAGAUUCAAUUCACAAUUUUAUACACAAGGAAAUGCCUGUACCAAGUAAGAAAUAGGACAAUUAUAUUCCAGUCGUUUAAUGUGUUUGAGCUUUUAAUUUUGCUAUUUGAUAAGGGACGUUCCGUGUUGAAUUUACCUAUAUUUUUGUAAUUUUACUUUGUAUUUAUACAUUUCAAAAAGGCAUUUUCUAUUUUCAAUAAUGUAUCCAUCUAUCUUUUGAAAGAAUAUUUGUAUUCAAAGAUGGGAUCAGUUUAAAAAAUUGAUAGGCAAUAUUGAACUUUGAAUAUGUAAUUUAUGUGUUUGUUUUUUUUUUCAGAAUCUUUCCCUCUAAAGUCACAUCACAAUCGGUGGUCAGUUGCCUGAUUUAUUGUAUAGAAAAGUCAUUUGCAUAAAACUUUGUUUUUAUUUAUAAAUGCAACAAUAGACAACAGCUGCAAAAACAACAUAACAGUAAAUUGUUUUUAUA
Molecule: long non-coding RNA, 7872 nt
Filed under: Mytilus galloprovincialis (Mediterranean mussel)
Lineage: Eukaryota; Metazoa; Mollusca; Bivalvia; Mytilida; Mytilidae
Source: RNAcentral